This 586-nucleotide long non-coding RNA is filed under the name Medicago truncatula (barrel medic). Its description in RNAcentral is "long non-coding RNA (MTRU_LNC003974)". The record is from RNAcentral. Lineage: Eukaryota; Viridiplantae; Streptophyta; Magnoliopsida; Fabales; Fabaceae.
AUAUUUUCUCUCUAAUUUUUCUUGUACCUUCAUUCUUUUGCAUUUUUUUCUUCUGAGCAGUAAGAAAAUAAUUAUUAGAAUUAUAUUAUUUGUAUAUCUUUCUAGUAAAAUGAGUUAAAUGGUCAUCUACAUUUUGUUUUCCAUUUGUGCAAAGAAAUAUAAAGGAUUAUUAAACUUAAACAAAUGUCAAAUUCAAAAGGAAGGGUAGAGAAACAUAAAUAUAAGGUAGUAACGGCAAUGACAUUUGUCCAGUAUUUUUCUUAUGCUUAAUAGCUUUUGGAAUUUUCAUUUAUAUAUGGGAUGAUGUUUAAUAUUUGAUUUAAAUUUAUAGAUCCCUUCUCUGUGCUUGUUUAGUUGGUGGAAAGGGAAUGAUGGACAUACACAUGUGAUAUGGUUAAAUUUAGGAAUAUUUACUGUUUUAAUUUUUCUUCAUUGUUUUUUAUCUGUAACUUAUCAAUGAAAAUUUACAUAGGGAGAUUACAGACAAUUUAAGUAAGGGUAGUGCAAUUUAUCAAGAACGAUUUUAUUACGAAACAGUCUCGAAAUUGAUGUUAGCCAAUAAAAUUUCUGUUUGGCCAGAAAUCAU